GACGUAGGUGGCGAGCGUUGUUCGGAAUCACUGGGCAUAAAGCGCACGUAGGCGGCCAUAUAAGUCGGGUGUGAAAGCCCUCGGCUCAACCGAGGAACUGCGCCCGAUACUGCAUGGCUUGAGGUCCGGAGGGGAGAGUGGAAUUCCCGGUGGAGCGGUGAAAUGCGUAGAGAUCGGGAAGAACACCGGUGGCGAAGGCGGCGAGCUGGCCUGUUACUGACGCUGAGGCGCGACAGCGUGGGGAGCAAACAGG
RNAcentral lists this ribosomal RNA (253 nucleotides) under uncultured bacterium. RNAcentral's name for it is "partial 16S ribosomal RNA". It matches the Rfam family "Bacterial small subunit ribosomal RNA", at positions 524 to 776 of the family's 1533-position model. The record is from RNAcentral.